CUUCACCGAGCCGAGCCAGAGCGGGCGUUCGGGCGCGCGGCCCUUGCCGUAGGUGGCGAUGAGGGCCUGGGCCUC
RNAcentral lists this antisense RNA (75 nucleotides) under Streptomyces albus subsp. albus DSM 41398. RNAcentral's name for it is "ASpks TB sRNA". It matches the Rfam family "ASpks TB sRNA". Lineage: Bacteria; Bacillati; Actinomycetota; Actinomycetes; Kitasatosporales; Streptomycetaceae. The record is from Rfam by way of RNAcentral.